RNAcentral lists this RNase P RNA (334 nucleotides) under bovine gut metagenome. RNAcentral's name for it is "Bacterial RNase P class A". It matches the Rfam family "Bacterial RNase P class A". Rfam says of the family: Ribonuclease P (RNase P) is a ubiquitous endoribonuclease, found in archaea, bacteria and eukarya as well as chloroplasts and mitochondria. The record is from RNAcentral.
AGUGGAUUGGGCAGUCGCGGGUCGCAAGACACGAGGAAAGUCCGAGCUCCAAACAGCAGGGUAACGGCUAACGGCCGCCGAGGGUGACCUUAGGGAAAGUGCAACAGAAAGAAACCGCCGCGUUUGCGGUAAGGAUGGAACGGCGAGGUAAGAGCUCACCGGCGCACAGGAGACUGUGCGGCCAUGUAAACCCUACCCGGAGCAACACCGACCGGAUGCAGCAAUGCACGCUCGCUGGGCGCAUAUCCGACGGGUGGCUUGAGCCUGCCGGCAACGGCAGGCCUAGACAGAUGACUGCCUUCAAUGACAGAACUCGGCUUACAGAUCCACUCGA